This 3471-nucleotide long non-coding RNA is filed under the name Olea europaea subsp. europaea. Lineage: Eukaryota; Viridiplantae; Streptophyta; Magnoliopsida; Lamiales; Oleaceae. The record is from RNAcentral.
CAAAUAAUAAUACUUAAAGUUUCACCACUUGCCAUAUAAAGAAAAUUCAUCCCUUUCAUGGUGGAAACUGGAAUGCUAGCCAUUUGAAAAAUUAGAAAUUGAGAAAACCCAUCAGAAUUGACUGACUAAUAUAGAUUGCUACUUCAAAAAACUAAAAUAAUUAGAUUCUUAAUCGUACCAGGGGGAAAACUCUCCAGACUCCACCCAACGAACAAGAUCAGAUUCGACGAGAGAAGAAUAUGAUUACAACAAUAUAAAUUACUAGACCAACAAGAAAAAUAACCAACCUUACAGGCAAACCUUUGUAGGGAGUCGAUGAGAGAAUUAAUAUGCUUGAAGGCACCUAGCAAUCUAGAACGAGUGUCACACGUUUUCUAUACCAUGAUUUAUACUAAAAGUGUAUGAUGCCAAGUUUUGUAAUAUAAUCUAAAGGUGAAUAUGGUGACAAAUUCAAGGAGUGCAAUUUUUACAAAUAAAUCAAUAUAAGAAAGGAAUAGGGAAUGAGUUUACCUAACUAUCAAUUAUGUUCAAUUAUUCUAAUCAAUUUUUUCAUGUUUAAAAGUAAGAACCCUAAUGUAUUUCUCUCCCGUCUCUCGAGUACCGACUGGAAAAUAAUCCUAAAUUUUGAUUCCAUAUCUUUAUUUCAAAUUAAAAUCAAGAAUUUAUCAAGUUCAUGAUUCUUUUAUGGAGUAUGCUUGAUAAAUCCUUACUUUCUUUUGAAACCCAUAAAAUAUACGUUGUGUCAAUCCUAUAAUCUUGCCUAUAUUCCCCUUUCUCGAGUAUCGAAAUUGACUAGCAUCCAUUCAUCCAAAUUUACCAACUUUUGUUUAUUUCCUUCAAUUUUAUCAACCAAUAUCACAACAUCAAGAUACGCAUUAAAACAUUCUAAAACUUGUAGGAAUUAGCUAAAUAUCAAUCUUAGAUGAUAUCUAAAGUAUGAGUGAAAUACAUUUAUCAACAAGGCCACAUAGGAUCUGGUGGGAGAGUUGGGCAAGAGAAAGCCAAUCAAUCCAUCAAGUAUGAGGAUCAAACUUUUCCAUUUGCUUACAUAGAAUAAAUGGGAAACAAGCAGCUUUGGUUAGAGCUUUAAAGGAGAUGGACGAUAAUAACAAGUAUGCCCCUUUAUCCCAGGUGAUCAAAGCAUUGGAAGCCUAAACAAAUUUCUAAUGCCAAAAAUGCAAAAAAUUUGUGGAAAGACAAUACCGUCGACUACGUACGGGAAUAUAACACCCACUUAAAUUUUUUACGAGCGAUCUUAGGACACAAACAUCGAGGCUCUCAACGGGAGCUAAAAAAUAGAAUAAGGUUUACAUCACUAGAGUCUGCAUUUGGUCAUACCUGAAAAACCAAUUUAUCCAUAUGUUUACCAAGGGAAAGGUCGACCCAACAAAAGAAUAUCCAUGAUAUGAUACAAGGCACCAGUGAGCCUUUGCGUAGCUAUCUUAGCCGUUUUAAUCAAUAAAUAGUUGACAUUGAAAGCCUUUCAUAAAAUACAACUUUUCAAGCUUUGAGGUCCAUUUUGGACAUGAUAACUCCUUUUUGGAGAAACUUUCCCAAUUGAGCACCUUUGUAUAAUGAAUUAAUGGAAUUGAUCAAAGAGGAUAUCAAUAAUCAAGAAAUGAUAAGGUCAAAGGAUUUACAACAAAGACAUGGCUAGAUGGAUAGAGGGAAGGCUUCGAUGAAGUAAGAUGGCCUUAAAGCUCGUCUAUUGUGACACAACUAUAUGUAAUUGAAGUAGAUGCUGUGAAACCCAGAAGAUUACCAAAAGGUUGUUCUUCCGAAACCCCCAAGCGCACAUGAUCGUUGACAAGUAAUAGAUUUAGUGAGUUGAGAGUAUCGUCCCACGAGGAAUAAAAUUUAUUAGAGUGUACUAGUGUUUAAUUAGAUUCAAAGCAAACAAAUAAAAGUGAUUUGCGGUUUUUAAUUAAUCCAACUUAAUCUACGAAAACUUGUAAAAUGCAAAUUUAAUAUGUAAGGGAAGAGUGUAUUAGAUUAUGAAUCCACCUAUUAUUAUCUAUUUCAAUUCUUGACUUUGUAGCUAGUUCAUUCAUACGUUAUUGACUAUCGAUAAUUCUAGUGUAAUUAAUUUUCUUCUCCAAGACAAAUUAAAUCUAUACUAUUCAUGACCUGAAUUUAUUCCAAGUCCAAAUUCGAAUGAAUAAAACGCAUUCAAUUUCACAAUUAUAUCAUGCAUAAGUGAUAAAUCUUAUUCCUAAAAUUUAUUGCACAUUUGUUAAUCAAGCAGUGGUAUAGACUUAUUGUGAACCUUCCUGCAUUACAAUAGGCAACCAUACAUUUAAUUGGUAAUCAAGCAAUCAAAUAAUAAAAUUAAGCAUGCAAGAUUAAUAAAAAAAUUGUAAAAAUUCAACUAAACCACGUGCCUUGAAUUAAAAAUAAAUAAUAAAUGGAUUCAUCUUCAUCCAAUGAUAAGAAUUAGCCUUGCAUAAUGUGGAAAUUAAAUAAAUAGAGGUGGAAAGACAUCACUAAAUUUUUUUUCUUGUUUAAAAGUAAGAACCCUAAUGUAUUUCUCUACCCUCUCUCGAGUGCUGAUUAGAAAAUAAUCCUAAAUUUCGAUUCCAUAUCUUUAUUCCAAAUUAAAAUCAAGAAUUUAUCAAGUUCAUGAUUCUUUUAUGGAGUAUGCUUGAUCAAUCAUUACUUUCUCUUGAAACCCAUAAAAUCAAUGUUGUCUCAAUCCUAUAAUCUCGCCUAUAUUCCUCUCUCUUGAGUAUCGAAAUUGACUAGCAUCUAUUCAUCUAAUUUUACCAACUUUUGUUUAUUUCCUUCAAUUUCUUCAACCAAUAUCACAACAUCAAAACACGCAUUAAAACAUUCUAAAACUUGUAGGAAUUAGCUAAAUAUCAAGUUUAGAUGGUAUCUGAAGUAUGAGUGAAAUACACUUAUCAAAAAGGCCAUAUAGGAUCUGGUAGGAGAGUUGGGCAAGAGAAAGCCAAUCAAUCCAUCAAGUAUGAGGAUCAAACUUUUCCAUUUGCUUACAUAGAAUAAAUGGGAAACAAGCAGCUUCGGUUAGAGCUUUAAAGGAGAUGGACGAUAAUGACGAGUAUGCCCCCCUUUAUCCCAGGUGAUCAAAGCGUUGGAAGCCUAAACAAAUUUCUAGUGCCAAAAAUGCAAAAAAGAUUGUGGGAAGACAAUACCGUCGACUAGGUACGAGAAUAUAACACCCAAUUAAAUUUUUUACGAGCGCUCUUAGGACACAAACAUCGAGGCUCUCCACAAGAGAUAAAAAAUGGAAUAAGGUUUACAUCACCAGAGUCUACAUUUGGUCAAACCUGAAAAACCAAUUUAUCCAUAUGUUUACCAAGGGAAAGGUCGACCCGACAAGAGAGUAUCCAUGAUAUGAUACAAGGCACUAGUGAGCCUUUGCAGAGCUAUCUUAGCCGUUUUAAUCAAUAAAUAGUUGACAUUGAAAGUCUUUCAUAAAAUACAACUUUUCAGGCUUUGAGGUCCAUUUUG